This is an RNA transcript of Columba livia (rock pigeon), 1602 nucleotides long. RefSeq lists it as uncharacterized. The transcript has 2 exons. The record is from RefSeq and is a predicted model, not a curated record. Lineage: Eukaryota; Metazoa; Chordata; Aves; Columbiformes; Columbidae.
GAGGCGAGGCCAUCUUGGGCAGCACAAAAGCACAGGCCAUGAUGCAAUUAUCAGCAGCUACGUGGUCAGGAGACGACUCAGAGCUGAACUUGGCGCCAGGUCAGGGAGCCUUGAGUUCCCCUAACUACUGUGUUCAGAGAUUAGGGGGAUGUAACAAUUACCUGAAAGGGGAGAUUAAAGCACCUCUCAAUGGUGCCCUUUGUUCUCGGCCACAUUUGAUGCCUUGCGGCCUUUUCAAACUACGUCGCGGAAGGCGCUUUAAAUGUUUGCCCCCACAGCCGGGGCGGCUUCAGUGAGCGGGGAGCGCCGGCUGCACCGGCAGAGCCGGCGGAGAUGGAGAAGAGGCCCUUCUCCGUGGAGUGGCUGGCACAGAGCAGCCGCGGCGGAGCCCAGCCCAUCGCCGCUGCCCUCGGAGGCACCUGCGACCCGGAGAGCCCGGCGGACCCUGGUGAGUCCCGCCUCCCCUCGCGGGCGGGUCGCGCGGCGGGACGGUUGGUGGCGGCCGUUAUGCGGACGGUCGCCGCGCGCGAGGCCGUCGGGGAACAGUUGUCGCACGUGCAGCCUUUGCCUGCGCCACAGUCCGCGCGACCCGACACCCCCAGAGGGAAGGUCCCUCCCCUGACGCCCCCGUCCUGUCCCCGCAGUCGCGCCGCGGGACCGGGAGGCCGUGCACCGUAGCAGCCCCGGGCUCGAAGCGGAGGCGGGCGGCGGCGCCGUACCCGGGCGGGCCCGCACGAAGUUCUCGGCCGCGCAGCUGCAGGAGCUGGAGCGGAUCUUCCGCGAGCAGCGCUACAUCGGCACCAGCGAGAAGCGGCGCUUGGCCGCCGUGCUGAACCUCUCCCAGAGCCAGAUAAAAACCUGGUUUCAGAAUCGUCGUAUGAAGUUUAAACGUCAGACUCAAGAUGCCAAGGUGGAAGCUCUUUUCUCAGGCUUAUUUUUGCCCUACCAUUGUUACCCAGAUAUUGCUAUAUCCAGCUGUUCUCAUGGGAUAGAUGUCAACAUCUCUUCUACCUCUGCUGUCUCCUUUCACCCAGCUGUACCAAGCACUGCCUUGUCAUUACCUUCUGGUCCAGCUCAGUCCCUUCAGCCGGUUUUGCCAAGUCCAGCUUUACUGUUGCCUCCCAGCCAAGGACUGUCUUGUUACUCUUCUGUAAUUCCAGCGAUUACUCUAACCGAUGACCACAAAAGACUGAGGUUCCAGCCAUAUCUUCCUUCCUGUUAAAAAUGCAAAGAUUACCUGUAAUCUGAAAAAGAACUCCCAAAUAUCCCUUAGAGUAAUUACUUAAUUUAUUUUGUGAUAUUAAACAGUUUGAUUAUCCUUUUUUUUAAUCGAAUUUUGGGGUUUAUGUUGAAGGAGAAAAUAAUUUACCUGUAUUACAGAAGUAAUACUGAGAGUGGAAGUGGAGGACUUGAAACUUCCAUUUAUUCCUGGAGUCUUCACUAUGUUGUCUUGAAACUUCUGUGAGUUUUCCAAUCCAAAGGUUUGUUUUCAGAAAACAACCUAAAAUCACAUGAUUAUUUCCACUGAAAAAAUCAAGUACUGUUUACCCUUAAAUUUACACAGCAAUUAUAUCAUGUAAUAGAAAAGUGUUUAAAACUUUU